CCAACUCAUGAGAUUCUUGCUACACUUGUUGCUACUAUUUCAGGUACAUGAUAAGUUUGUCAAAUAGGAAUUUUAGAAUAUUUUUUAAGGUUUAGUGUGUUUGCUCCGAGUUUCUCAGUGAAUGGACAUAUAGGACUUGUUACUGUGAUUAAACGAGAGAUCUCAGUUUUUGCUUCAUGUUUUCAGAUUUGGUGACAUUAACUCACUUGUUUCCAUUUUUGUCAGCUAAGAGGCCUAAGGUUGUUAAUUUUCCUGGAACCUCCCAUGGCUAAUCCACCUAAGUGAGAGCACUUCAGUUCAGAUCAGAAUAAUUGAAAUUUUGUGUGUUUGCUAACAUUGUUUUAUUUAUUGUGUGGAAUCCAAAUCAUAAACGCUACAAAGUUGAA
Molecule: long non-coding RNA, 386 nt
Filed under: Brassica napus (rape)
Lineage: Eukaryota; Viridiplantae; Streptophyta; Magnoliopsida; Brassicales; Brassicaceae
Description: long non-coding RNA (BNAP_LNC013857)
Source: RNAcentral